UAGGGAAUCUUCGGCAAUGGACGGAAGUCUGACCGAGCAACGCCGCGUGAGUGAAGAAGGUUUUCGGAUCGUAAAGCUCUGUUGUUAGAGAAGAACGUUGGUAGGAGCGGAAAAUCUACCAAGUGACGGUAACUAACCAGAAAGGGACGGCUAACUACGUGCCAGCAGCCGCGGUAAUACGUAGGUCCCGAGCGUUGUCCGGAUUUAUUGGGCGUAAAGCGAGCGCAGGCGGUUCUUUAAGUCUGAAGUUAAAGGCAGUGGCUUAACCAUUGUACGCUUUGGAAACUGGAGGACUUGAGUGCAGAAGGGGAGAGUGGAAUUCCAUGUGUAGCGGUGAAAUGCGUAGAUAUAUGGAGGAUCACCGGUGGCGAAAGCGGCUCUCUGGUCUGUAACUGACGCUGAGGCUCGAAAGCGUUGGGAGCAAACAGG
RNAcentral lists this ribosomal RNA (429 nucleotides) under Bacillota bacterium. RNAcentral describes it as "Firmicutes bacterium partial 16S ribosomal RNA". It matches the Rfam family "Bacterial small subunit ribosomal RNA", at positions 355 to 776 of the family's 1533-position model. The record is from RNAcentral. Lineage: Bacteria; Bacillati; Bacillota.